Molecule: ribosomal RNA, 445 nt
Filed under: uncultured bacterium
Lineage: Bacteria
Description: partial 16S ribosomal RNA
Rfam family: Bacterial small subunit ribosomal RNA
Source: RNAcentral
CCAGACUCCUACGGGAGGCAGCAGUAAGGGAUAUUGGUCAAUGGGGGAAACCCUGAACCAGCAACGCCGCGUGAGGGAAGACGGUUUUCGGAUUGUAAACCUCUGUCCUCUGUGAAGAUGAUGACGGUAGCAGAGGAGGAAGCUCCGGCUAACUGCGUGCCAGCAGCCGCGGUAAUACGUAGGGAGCGAGCGUUGUCCGGAUUUACUGGGCGUAAAGGGAGCGCAGGCGGCGCGCCAAGUCUGAUGUGAAACCCCGGGGCUCAACCCCGGGCAUGCAUUGGAAACUGGCGGGCUGGAGUGCCGGAGAGGUAAGCGGAAUUCCUAGUGUAGCGGUGAAAUGCGUAGAUAUUAGGAGGAACACCAGUGGCGAAGGCGGCUUACUGGACGGCAACUGACGCUGAGGCUCGAAAGCGUGGGGAGCAAACAGGAUUAGAUACCCGUGUAC